AUAUAUUUUAUAUAUAGACAGUUUAGGCUCUCUGGCUCUGUUGUGUUAGUUGACUUAGUUUGAUCUAAUCAUGUUGUAUCACCAUGUCGUGCUACGGCAUGUAAAUUCCUGGAUUCCAGAGCCUUCGACAGUAAAUAAUAAAUUGAAACGUCGCGAAGGCUCUGGUUCAACGGGGAGAUUCUUUGAUUAAACCGCGCCAAUCACAAAACAGAAUUAGUGGUUUUAGUACAGAAUCUGUACUUAUAUAUGUAUAUUUCAAAUAUUAAAUAAAUAUCAUCACUUCGGGUAAUAUUCCGCCGAAUCCCCCUCGCUUCGGGUCUAUAAAUGAUAAAUAAACUAUAUGCUAAAGAAAACCUUGACAAUUUAAAAUACUAGAUAAUUUUCAAUAAGCGUCAGUGCAUAGUUUCUUCAUUGGAUUGCGAGGUUUCCGAAUGUGUGAUUAAUAUAUCUCCAAUGUUCAUCGCAGAGAAGUGGCAUUAUCUCACGUGCAUGCAUGGGAUAAUAGCGUGAGGUAGUUGGAAAUACGGCUGCUUUUUCUGGAUGCAUGUUGGAACACAAUGAAAGUACUAAACAUUACG
This is a non-coding RNA of Paramuricea clavata, 578 nucleotides long. The record is from the annotation of a GenBank genome assembly. NCBI's taxonomy places the organism in Eukaryota, Metazoa, Cnidaria, Anthozoa, Malacalcyonacea, Plexauridae.